GAUGAACGCUAGCGGCAGGCCUAACACAUGCAAGUCGAGGGAGAAGCCCUUUCGGGGGCAGACACCGGCGCACGGGUGCGUAACGCGUAUGCAACCUACCUUUCACAGGGGGAUAGCCCGAAGAAAUUUGGAUUAAUACCCCAUAAUAUUAUUUGAUGGCAUCAUUUGAUAAUUAAAACUGCGGUGGUGAAAGAUGGGCAUGCGUCCUAUUAGCUAGUUGGAGUGGUAACGGCACCCCAAGGCUACGAUAGGUAGGGGUCCUGAGAGGGAGCUCCCCCACACUGGUACUGAGACAGGGACCAGACUCCUACGGGAGGCAGCAGUGAGGAAUAUUGGUCAAUGGUCGGAAGACUGAACCAGCCAUGCCGCGUGCAGGAAGAAUGCCUUAUGGGUUGUAAACUGCUUUUAUAUGGGAAGAAUAAGGCGUACGUGUACGUUGAUGACGGUACCAUAUGAAUAAGCAUCGGCUAACUCCGUG
Molecule: ribosomal RNA, 478 nt
Filed under: uncultured bacterium
Lineage: Bacteria
Description: partial 16S ribosomal RNA
Rfam family: Bacterial small subunit ribosomal RNA
Source: RNAcentral